This 301-nucleotide ribosomal RNA is filed under the name uncultured bacterium. Its description in RNAcentral is "partial 16S ribosomal RNA". It matches the Rfam family "Bacterial small subunit ribosomal RNA", at positions 509 to 807 of the family's 1533-position model. The record is from RNAcentral.
CAGUAGCCGCGGGAAUACGUAGGCGGCAAGCGUUGUCCGGAAUUAUUGGGCGUAAAGGGCUCGCAGGCGGUUUCUUAAGUCUGAUGUGAAAGCCCCCGGCUCAACCGGGGAGGGUCAUUGGAAACUGGGAAGCUUGAGUGCAGAAGAGGAGAGUGGAAUUCCACGUGUAGCGGUGAAAUGCGUAGAGAUGUGGAGGAACACCAGUGGCGAAGGCGACUCUCUGGUCUGUAACUGACGCUGAGGAGCGAAAGCGUGGGGAGCGAACAGGAUUAGAUACCCCGGUAGUCCCUGUCUCUUAUAC